UUUUUAAGGGGGCCAGCUUACGGGCCAGGCCUCUCUCUGACCUGAUAACAAGUAUCGCCUCCCCGCCCAGCUCUAUCAGCGGGCCCUUUCUUUUGCAAUACUUAAAAGAGUCUCUCAUGGCCCAAUUAUUAUUACAGCGUUCUCUACCAUAGAAUUCGGACUUCCGGGUAAACCCGGCGGCUUCUAUGAAGAAGGCGGCGCAAAGGAGGCUCGAGGGCUUGUUAAGGAAGGCGGCAAGGGCCGACGAAGGGUGGAAAACGAAAGGCGUUUUCUGGUCCCCCCUGAGCCGGGGGGUGCUUGUGGGGGG
This 307-nucleotide long non-coding RNA is filed under the name Nicotiana benthamiana. RNAcentral describes it as "long non-coding RNA (NBEN_LNC026960)". The record is from RNAcentral. Lineage: Eukaryota; Viridiplantae; Streptophyta; Magnoliopsida; Solanales; Solanaceae.